This 429-nucleotide ribosomal RNA is filed under the name Triticum aestivum (bread wheat). RNAcentral describes it as "partial small subunit ribosomal RNA". Lineage: Eukaryota; Viridiplantae; Streptophyta; Magnoliopsida; Poales; Poaceae. The record is from RNAcentral.
GAUAACCUUAGGAAAAGGCAUAUCAUCAAACCUCUAGAUUGUGUGUUCUGCUCUGAAACUGAAUCUUUCCAUCACUUGUUUUUUGAUUGUGUAGUAGCUAGAUAUGUGUGGGCAAUUUUUAGGGAGCACUUCAACAUAAACUUGGGGUCUGAUUACAUGUCCAUUGCCAAGUUUUGGCUCUCUAACAAUAAAAAAUCUGCCCUUAAUGUAGCAUGUGCAACUGUUGUGUGGUGUUUGUGGAAAAUUAGAAAUUCCAUUAUAUUUAACAAUACCACAUGUACUCCUGGUGAACAGGUUAUUGGCAAGAUUCAUAGGCUGGUCAAGAUUUGGGCGAUCUUGUCGACAAAUCAAGGGAAGAAAAGUCUGGAGGACUUUGCAACCUUCCUGGAGGUGAAAAUGAGGACUCCAUUGGCCAUCAGAAGUGGCUGA